Molecule: ribosomal RNA, 445 nt
Filed under: uncultured Streptococcus sp.
Lineage: Bacteria; Bacillati; Bacillota; Bacilli; Lactobacillales; Streptococcaceae
Description: bacterial SSU rRNA
Rfam family: Bacterial small subunit ribosomal RNA
Source: RNAcentral
AGCAUGUGGUUUAAUUCGAAGCAACGCGAAGAACCUUACCAGGUCUUGACAUCCCGAUGCUAUUUCUAGAGAUAGAAAGUUACUUCGGUACAUCGGUAACAGGUGGUGCAUGGUUGUCGUCAGCUCGUGUCGUGAGAUGUUGGGUUAAGUCCCGCAACGAGCGCAACCCCUAUUGUUAGUUGCCAUCAUUCAGUUUGGGCACUCUAGCGAGACUGCCGGUAAUAAACCGGAGGAAGUGGGGAUGACGUCAAAUCAUCAUGCCCCUUAUGACCUGGGCUACACACGUGCUACAAUGGUUGGUACAACGAGUUGCGAGUCGGUGACGGCGAGCUAAUCUCUUAAAGCCAAUCUCAGUUCGGAUUGUAGGCUGCAACUCGCCUACAUGAAGUCGGAAUCGCUAGUAAUCGCGGAUCAGCACGCCGCGGUGAAUACGUUCCCGGGCCUU